RNAcentral lists this unclassified non-coding RNA (404 nucleotides) under soil metagenome. RNAcentral describes it as "partial contains 5.8S ribosomal RNA, internal transcribed spacer 2, and large subunit ribosomal RNA". The stretch from base 1 to 122 matches the Rfam family "5.8S ribosomal RNA", at positions 35 to 154 of the family's 154-position model. The record is from RNAcentral.
GAUGAAGAACGUAGCAAAAUGCGAUACUUGGUGUGAAUUGCAGAAUCCCGUGAACCAUCGAGUUUUUGAACGCAAGUUGCGCCCGAAGCCUUUUGGCCGAGGGCACGUCUGCCUGGGCGUCACGCAUCGCGUCGCCCCCCACAAUUCUCCGUAAAGGGAACGUGUGUUUUGGGGGCGGAUAUUGGUCUCCCGUGCUCAUGGCGUGGUUGGUCGAAAUAGGAGUCCUUUCGAUGGACGCACGAACUAGUGGUGGUCGUAAAAACCCUCGUCUUUUGUUUCGUGCUGUUGCUCGCAAGGUAAACUCUUUAAAAACCCCAAUGUGUCGUCUCUUGACGACGCUUCGACCGCGACCCCAGGUCAGGCGGGACUACCCGCUGAGUUUAAGCAUAUCAAUAAGCGGAGGA